GGCCCACCAAGGCGACGAUCAGUAGCCGGCCUGAGAGGGUGGACGGCCACAUUGGGACUGAGACACGGCCCAAACUCCUACGGAAGGCAGCAG
Molecule: ribosomal RNA, 93 nt
Filed under: uncultured bacterium
Lineage: Bacteria
Description: partial 16S ribosomal RNA
Rfam family: Bacterial small subunit ribosomal RNA
Source: RNAcentral